This 322-nucleotide ribosomal RNA is filed under the name uncultured bacterium. RNAcentral's name for it is "partial 16S ribosomal RNA". It matches the Rfam family "Bacterial small subunit ribosomal RNA", at positions 355 to 664 of the family's 1533-position model. The record is from RNAcentral.
UGGGGAAUCUUCCGCAAUGGGCGAAAGCCUGACGGAGCAACGCCGCGUGAGUGAAGACGGCCUUCGGGUUGUAAAGCUCUGUUAUAUGGGACGAACGGGUGUAUGGUCAAUACCCAUACGCCGUGACGGUACCGUAAGAGAAAAGCCACGGCUAACUACGUGCCAGCAGCCGCGGUAAUACGUAGGUGGCAAAGCGUUGUCCGGAAUCAUUGGGCGUAAAAGGGCGCGCAGGCGGUUCGGUAAAGUCGGUCUUAAAAAGUGCGGGGCUUAACCCCGUGAUGGGAUUGAAACUGCCGGACUGGAGUGUCGGAGAGGAAAGCAG